Molecule: ribosomal RNA, 382 nt
Filed under: uncultured eukaryote
Lineage: Eukaryota
Description: partial 18S ribosomal RNA
Rfam family: Eukaryotic small subunit ribosomal RNA
Source: RNAcentral
CAAUAGCGUAUAUUAAAGUUGUUGCAGUUAAAAAGCUCGUAGUUGGAUUUCUGGUAGGAGUGACCGUUCCGAACUUGAUUGUUCGUGUAUUGUGUUUUCUCCAGCCAUCCUUGUGGAGAACUUUUCUUGCAUUAAUUUGUAGGAUUGGGACCCACAUCGUUUACUGUGAAAAAAUUAGAGUGUUUAAAGCAGGCAAUCGCUUGAAUACAUUAGCAUGGAAUAAUAAGAUAGGACUUUGGUACUAUUUUGUUGGUUUGCAUACCAAAUUAAUGAUCAACAGGAACAGUUUGAGGAUAUUCGUAUGAACAUGUCAGAGGUGAAAUUCUUGGAUUUUGAUCAGACGAACUACUGCGAAAGCAUUUAUCAAGGAUGUUUUCAUUAA